AGAGUUUGAUCCUGGCUCAGGACGAACGCUGGCGGCGCGCCUAACACAUGCAAGUCGAACGAGCGAGAGAGAGCUUGCUUUCUCGAGCGAGUGGCGAACGGGUGAGUAACGCGUGAGGAACCUGCCUCAAAGAGGGGGACAACAGUUGGAAACGACUGCUAAUACCGCAUAAGCCCACGACCCGGCAUCGGGUAGAGGGAAAAGGAGAAAUCCGCUUUGAGAUGGCCUCGCGUCCGAUUAGCUAGUUGGUGAGGUAACGGCCCACCAAGGCGACGAUCGGUAGCCGGACUGAGAGGUUGAACGGCCACAUUGGGACUGAGACACGGCCCAGACUCCUACGGGAGGCAGCAGUGGGGAAUAUUGCACAAUGGGGGAAACCCUGAUGCAGCGACGCCGCGUGGAGGAAGAAGGUCUUCGGAUUGUAAACUCCUGUUGUUGAGGAAGAUAAUGACGGUACUCAACAAGGAAGUGACGGCUAACUACGUGCCAGCAGCCGCGGUAAAACGUAGGUCACAAGCGUUGUCCGGAAUUACUGGGUGUAAAGGGAGCGCAGGCGGGAAGGCAAGUUGGAAGUGAAAUCCAUGGGCUCAACCCAUGAACUGCUUUCAAAACUGUUUUUCUUGAGUAGUGCAGAGGUAGGCGGAAUUCCCGGUGUAGCGGUGGAAUGCGUAGAUAUCGGGAGGAACACCAGUGGCGAAGGCGGCCUACUGGGCACCAACUGACGCUGAGGCUCGAAAGUGUGGGUAGCAAACAGGAUUAGAUACCCUGGUAGUCCACACUGUAAACGAUGAUUACUAGGUGUUGGAGGAUUGACUCCUUCAGUGCCGCAGUUAACACAAUAAGUAAUCCACCUGGGGAGUGCGACCGCAAGGUUGAAACUCAAAGGAAUUGACGGGGGGCCGCACAAGCGGAGGAACAUGUGGUUUAAUUCGAUGAUACGCGAGGAACCUUACCCGGGCUUGAAUUGCAGAGGAAGGAUUUGGAGACAAUGACGCCCUUCGGGGCCUCUGUGAAGGUGCUGCAUGGUUGUCGUCAGCUCGUGCCGUGAGGUGUCGGCUUAAGUGCCAUAACGAGCGCAACCCCUCUCCUUAGUUGCCAUCAGGUUAAGCUGGGCACUCUGGGGACACUGCCACCGUAAGGUGUGAGGAAGGUGGGGAUGACGUCAAAUCAGCACGGCCCUUACGUCCGGGGCUACACACGUGUUACAAUGGCAGGUACAGAGAGACGGUCCCUUGCAAAACGGAUCAAAUCCUUAAAGCCUGUCUCAGUUCGGACUGGGGUCUGCAACCCGACCCCACGAAGCUGGAUUCGCUAGUAAUCGCGCAUCAGCCAUGGCGCGGUGAAUACGUUCCCGGGCCUUGUACACACCGCCCGUCAAGCCAUGAAAGCCGGGGGCGCCUAAAGUCCGUGACCGUAAGGAGCGGCCUAGGGCGAAACUGGUAAUUGGGGCUAAGUCGUAACAAGGUA
Molecule: ribosomal RNA, 1467 nt
Filed under: metagenome
Description: bacterial SSU rRNA
Rfam family: Bacterial small subunit ribosomal RNA
Source: RNAcentral